Molecule: ribosomal RNA, 248 nt
Filed under: uncultured Eubacteriales bacterium
Lineage: Bacteria; Bacillati; Bacillota; Clostridia; Eubacteriales
Description: uncultured Clostridiales bacterium partial 16S ribosomal RNA
Rfam family: Bacterial small subunit ribosomal RNA
Source: RNAcentral
CGUGGAUUAGCGGCGGACGGGUGAGUAACACGUGAGUAACCUGCCUUAGACAUUGGGAUAGCCUCGGGAAACCGGGAUUAAUACCAAAUAAAAUCAUAAUGACACAUGUCAUAACGAUCAAAACUCCGGUGGUCUAAGAUGGACUCGCGUCCCAUUAGCUAGUUGGUAGAGUAAAAGCCUACCAAGGCGACGAUGGGUAGCCGGCCUGAGAGGGUGAACGGCCACAUUGGAACUGAGAAACGGUCCAA